Molecule: ribosomal RNA, 376 nt
Filed under: uncultured bacterium
Lineage: Bacteria
Description: bacterial SSU rRNA
Rfam family: Bacterial small subunit ribosomal RNA
Source: RNAcentral
GACGAACGCUGGCGGCGUGCUUAACACAUGCAAGUCGAGCGGUAAGGCCCUUUCGGGGGUACACGAGCGGCGAACGGGUGAGUAACACGUGGGUGACCUGCCCUCAGCUCUGGGAUAAGCCUGGGAAACCGGGUCUAAUACUGGAUAUGACUCCAUGACGCAUGUUGUGGGGUGGAAAGCCUUGUGCGGCUGAGGGUGGGCCCGCGGCCUAUCAGCUUGUUGGUGGGGUGAUGGCCUACCAAGGCGACGACGGGUAGCCGGCCUGAGAGGGCGACCGGCCACACUGGGACUGAGACACGGCCCAGACUCCUACGGGAGGCAGCAGUGGGGAAUCUUGCGCAAGUGGGCGAAAGCCUGACGCAGCGACGCCGCGUGA